Molecule: long non-coding RNA, 2404 nt
Organism: Corticium candelabrum
Lineage: Eukaryota; Metazoa; Porifera; Homoscleromorpha; Homosclerophorida; Plakinidae
Exons: 10
Source: RefSeq, a predicted model, not a curated record
AGUCAACCACUCCAAUUUCUCAUCUUCUGAGUGACACUCAUGUUUAUGAGUGUCUUCAAAAGGUAGCUGAAGUUAUGGAUAAAGAAGAUGACAUAAUAUGUGACGACUGGAGGCGUUUGUGGUCUGACCUACUUGAACGACAUUUAAAUGAAGAAAUGAAGACGAAGAUUCGAGAAACUGGAAGUCCAACUUUGUAUGUUUUGAAGAAAUGGAUGUGCAAGUCAGCAUCAGCAACUGUUGGUAAACUAAUCGAACGUCUCAGUUUUAUUUAUCGAAACGAUGUGGCAGAAAUUCUGAUGAAAUGCUUAAGUACAGGAGAGUGUGAGAUGAAGGGGGAGAGUGCCAUUGCAGCCAAUACAGACAGAUCACGAGAGGCUUCGAGUGCAUUUUGUGUAGAUUCAAGAGCUAGCCAGAUAGAACUCGACCUGUCAAACAGACAACAUUGUAAAGUGAGCAACAAAGAUCUCGUUAAAGUAGCACGUGCAGUGAGUGGAAAUUGGGAACAAUUCGCUGCCUGUCUUGAUCCAGACCUGUUUACUGUUUUGGAGAAAAAGAUAAUUAGACAGUCACACAGUGAACCUUUCAAUCAAUCUCAUGCAAUGUUAGAGAAAUGGUCAGACGAAUUGGACAAGAAAGCUACUAAUGUGUCACUGAUAGAGGUUUUGUUGGAGAACAACAUGAAAGCACAAGCCAACAAAAUAUUUGGGGAAUGUCUUGUAAAUUACGUGGAAAGCAAUCGCUCUGACUAGGCAGCUUGGUUUGGGCGAGUGGCACAUGACAAUCUGUCUCAGUCAGACUCAUAAAGGCUGGAGACCUAGCUACACGAGAAUACCCAAGCAGUUGCUUAUGCUGGAUUGAAGUAUUUCUCAACAGUAUGCAGUAGCAUCACUUCUAGGAUGAACUAAAGAUCUCCCCACCACCCUACACACGGGAUUGUAAUAAUUUAUGAUUUUUAUGCUGGACUUAGUAAAGAUAGUUAUUUGGUAAAUAAAAGGCAUUAGUCCUUCAGUCAAAGACCAGGUACUCGAUAUUCUGAAUUUGUGUCUCUGAAAGGAUGGAAUGGUUUGCCAGAAACCGUGUAUGUUAAUUAGAUCAGUAUCUGGUCAAUGUAGUCAGACUUUCAGAAACCCUACAUGAUUGGUAUCCUGCAAACAGUGAGUUUGCUCUUCUUUUGGAGUCUCAUAUGUACUUGGCACCUAAUACAAAAUUGCUAUAUUCUGAGCAACCAAAGAGUUUGGUUCAAUGCCUUCGACUCUGUCCAAUACAGUCAAUCUUUGCUAUUUCUCAUCUUCUGAGUGACACUCAUGUUCAUGAAUGUCUUCAAAAGGUAGCUGAAGUUAUGGAUAAAGAAGAUGACAUAAUAUGUGACGACUGGAGGAGUUUGUGGUGUGACCUACUUGAACGACCUUUAAGUGAAGAAAUGAAGACAAAGAUUCGACAAACUGCAAUACCAGUCCAACUCACUUUGUUCUGAAGAAAUGGAUGUGCAAGUCGACAUCAGCAACUGCUGCUAAACUAAUAGACUCAGUGCUAUUUAUUGAAAUGAUGUGGCAGAAAUUCUGAUGAAAUAGUUAAAUGAAAGAGAAUUUGAGAUGACGAUAGUCAGUGCAGGCAACACAGACAGACAGUCAUCAAGUUCAUUCUGUGCAGAGUCGAGGGACAGUCAGAUAAAUCUCGAGCUGUCAACUAAACAACAUAGCAAGUUGACAUCAGAUGAUCUGGUCGCUGUGGCAAGUGCAGUGGACGUAAACUGGGAGGAGCUCGCCGCCAGACUAGCACCAGUCAUGUUUAGUAUCAUAAAGACGGAACAGAUUAAAGCUCAGUAUGGUAAACCUUUUGUUCAGUCUCGUUCAAUGUUGGAGGAAUGGGCGAACGGAUUGGACAAGGAGGCUACCAAAGGGUCACUGAUUAAAGCUCUAUUGAAGAUGAACAUGAGACGACAAGCCAAUGAAAUAUUUGGAGAAGAUCUCGUGACGUAUGUGGAAACAAAUGGCUCAUGAGAGAGUCAGAUAUGUUGAGUUACUCACCAUCUCAUAUCAUGUGUCUCUUGCAGCACAUGUACAGUCUCUUGGGAGAGAUACAUGUAUACGAAACUGGUGCAACAUCGCAUAUUGCGAACUCAUGCAGAGAGUCGCUUGUGUGUAUAAUGUGAUGACCGAUCGCGAGCAUGUGGAUAUCUACGCAGAGUCAGUGCUUGCAAACGGCCUGUGUAUAGGACCACUGAUGAACAGCAAGCAUUGGAUGCUGUCAAGAGAGUGAGAGAUCACAUCAGACUUGGUAUCCAGAUUUCGAGUGAAGACGACGGAGUUUGGAUCUACAAUCAGAGCGACUACUCGAUCUUUGCUCAGAGCCCGACUUUGGACUAUAUGUUGAAGGGCCGACUUCCUGCAGUCAAUAAAGUCCA